Molecule: long non-coding RNA, 896 nt
Filed under: Helianthus annuus (common sunflower)
Lineage: Eukaryota; Viridiplantae; Streptophyta; Magnoliopsida; Asterales; Asteraceae
Source: RNAcentral
UUUACCUACCAACAUCUUCAAUCUUCUCUCUAGUUUUCUCUCGCACGGAUUCUUCCGGUUGAUUCUAUAACCUAAUCUUCUCAAAUACAAAGAUCCGUAGCUAAAUCUUGCAGACUCGGACUCUUCGUCGAACAAAACAUUUAUGGAUCCUAAUAACAACGCUCAUUCGUUGUUAAAGUUGAUUAAGGACUAUGAUCCUAUAUUUUUGGAAAUACCGUAUGAUUUUGCAACCUUAUUUUGGGGAGAACAACUUCCAUAUGAUCAAUCUCUUAAAAUUAUUGAUGACGACUUAUCAUGGGUGGUUAGAGUUAAAAGAAAUAUGUCGGGCCCUGUCUUAGGUGAUGGCUUAACCAAAGUCGUUAGAGAUUCUGGUCUCAAAAACAAUGAUUAUCUAUUGUUGAAGGCUAUUGGACCAUCGACAUUGUAUCUUUCAGUCUUUAAAUCAUGCAUUUUUUGAGAACUCCUUUAUCUCUAAAAUUAUACCUGAUGAUACCUUCAUUGUAAGGGCUAUAUACAAUAUAGACUAAAUUGAAAAAUCAACCUUUAUGUUAUACCCAAACUGCACUUCGUACCUUUCUCUAUAAAAUCGGCAAAAACAACCUUUAUGUUCAUGUUUUGCUACAUGUUCAACCUUUAACACAAACGACGUUUGUUUUUCUGGUUAACACCCCUCACAUGCAUUGCAUGUGAGGAUACUUUAGUCCUUUUAAAUUCUUUUUUAAUAUAUAUUUAAAAAACCCCACAAAACCCACUAUGAGUCUCUAUCUUCAUCUCCAAAAGAUCAAAAUUUGAUGUUGAGCGGUAGUUGUUGGUCCAAACAAUAUGUAAAUACAAAAACCCACAAACCCGCAAUCGCCCGCUAGAAGCUAAAAGUUGCAUUUCUUUUUCACCAAUUC